Molecule: long non-coding RNA, 474 nt
Filed under: Danio rerio (zebrafish)
Lineage: Eukaryota; Metazoa; Chordata; Actinopteri; Cypriniformes; Danionidae
Description: lncRNA (ENSDARG00000095266.4)
Source: RNAcentral
CUGGCGUUGGUUGUGGUUAGUGGUUUUGUGCGAUUUGCGAUUUCUCGAUUGAUUUACGGUUAUUGAUUCACGGUUUUUGACACUUUUUUCGGACUUCGACUACGGCUUUGGAUUUGCGAUUUCACUUUGACACUCGGAUACGGUUUUGGAUUUCCCGGUAACGACCCUUUUCUUCUGACUUCGACUGACGGCUUUGGACACCCCUUGGAUUUGGUUGCUUAGCAAAACCCCCAUAAUGGGAGUUUUAUCCCUGUGUGAGGAAGCACCGAGCAAGGUGUUCGGUGUUCCCUUGUCACAUCUGAGGAAGACCGGACAGAUGAGACAGGGGCUUCCUCUGGCCUUCACACACCUAGUACGCUUCCUCGAGAAGCAUGCUCAAAGCCACUAAAAAUUGGGCGACUUGGGCGUCUGAGAAGACAAUUUUUGCAUUUUUGGCAAAAAUUUGGCUCCUGCAAUGGCAGGCGCAAAGUGGAA